This 3802-nucleotide long non-coding RNA is filed under the name Pan troglodytes (chimpanzee). Its description in RNAcentral is "lincRNA". Lineage: Eukaryota; Metazoa; Chordata; Mammalia; Primates; Hominidae. The record is from RNAcentral.
AUUGUGAGAAGUUUUUACGCUGCUCUGGGUCAUGGCUUGGAGACUGCCUCCUCAGAGCUUAAAUGGGCAGAUUUCAUAUUCUUCCCAUCCUUGGGAAUACUUCAUAAAACAGAAUGACAAGAGUCCAUGUUUUUUUCGGAGCACCGUGCAGUGGGAGAGCCUGUCUUGCCUUUUUUUUUUUUUUUUUUUUUUUUUUUUUUGCUAUCGUUUUAUACAGGUAUUUUUUUUUCUUUCUAUUUCUUUUUUCUUUUACUUUUUAUUUCCUCUUUAAAGAAAAUGAUUGGCAGCACUCAACCUCAAGGAACUGAUCUAUCAAAACCAAGCUGGGAUAAGUAUUUCUUUGAGAAAUAAUAUAUAUUUACCAACAGGCUCUAUUCUGCCCCCUUGUUUCACAGCACCUUGAAUAUCACUUCCUUUUCCUGCCCAAAGCAGGAGAUAACCCUGUAUUAAGAGCAUGGCAGGUGUGUGUGUGUGUACAAUACACACAUACAGCACACAUGUCUCUAUUUAGAGAUUCCAUGAUAUGCGUUCUAUAUACACUUUACAGUCCCUUUUCUUAAUGUCAAAAAUAUAAUUUCCAACGUCUAAAGAGUGUUUUCAAAGACUUUUGCCCUAUUUUUUAAAAUAGUGUCUAAAUAUGAUUAAGUGUCUUCCCAGAGAAAAGUCAAAGAGGCUCCUAGUGUUAAUUUCCAUAUUGCUUAAGACUUAAGCUUUUAAUUUAUUUUAUCAAGGUUGAGGGAGUAUGGUAAUUGUUGGAACAACGCCCUUCCAAAAGAAAUAGCCUGCACUUGUUUUUAAGUUAAAUUUGUUUUCUCACACAGAUUUUUGAUACACUCUUAAAUAAACUAGAAAUCACAAUUAUUUUAAUGUGGCAGAGUUGUAACCAGGAAAUUGCAUAUAUUUUCAUAAACUAGGCUGUUAUAGAUUUUUAUAACAUUAUAAGAAAUGUUAUUUCUUAUAACAUUAUUUUAAGAAAUUUUUUUAACGUCUUUCAACCCUGAAAGGGCCUGCUUGAAACAUACACGGCAGCAAAAUCACUGGAGUCCAGGGUUUUUGUCACACACACACACAGCACAGAUUUUUUUGAUUAUGUAGAUUUCUUUUCCUACUGCAGUUUCAUAUGCAAAGCAUGCAUCAGCCACAUCCAUGCUAUCUCCUAAAGCAGUCAUUCUGAAACCCAAUCUGGGGACAGUGCAGACUAAAUAAAAUUUCAUUUUGAUUUGGCCUCCCGCUGCGAAUGGGACUGCUUUGUCUCAGCCGACAGAACCAGCAAGCCAGAAAGGGAAUGAAGACAUUUGGAGAAGAAGCGUUUACUGAAAGGAGAUUCCUGGGCUGGAGGAAAACCAUGAUCUACAGUUCAUGUUGACAGAUAUUGCAUUUUUGGUCCUAGAUCUGACUUUUGAAAUGACUUAUCACAAAUUCAAAUUUAGCAAUCAUGAGUGAAGUACCCACGAUGUGCUAAGCAUCUACCUCUGCAGAUAGAAGAACACUUACCGUUCCUGAGCAUGGGAGGGAACUUCUGUUCCUGGGUCCUGGCCUCACCUCAUCAGGCACUGCCAAAUUUGACACCUCCUUCCUGUUCACGGCAGUCCUUUGGGAUGGGGUAUUAGAUGCCACCAAAUAGCUGCAUAACUCACCCACUUUGUCAGAGCCUGGGUCUAAGCCAGGUCUGACAGACUCCAAAGCAAGCCCUGUUUACAGCAUGACUGGGAUCCAGUGGGUAAGACCAACCUGUCAAUGCCCAAGUGCAGAUGCAAUAAUAGUGCUUCAACUGAUUGUUGCAAACUCCUCAUGAAGGAUGCCAAAUCCCAGUGCAGAUGGUAACACAGGCUACUUUUCACCUCCAACCUCUAAUAUCCUUUCUUUCUUUCUUUCCUUUUUUUUUUUUUUUUUUUUUUUUUGAGAUAGAGUCUCCUCUAUCACCCAGGCUGGAGUGCAACAGCGCGAUCCCAGCUCACUGCAACCUCCACCUCCUGGGUUCAAGCAAUUCUCUCGCCUCAGCCUCCCGAGUAGCUGGGAUUACAGGCACCCGCCAUCACGUCCAGCUAAUUUUUGUAUAUUUGUAGAGACGGGGUUUCACCAUGUUAGCCAGGCUGGUCUUGAACUCCUGACCUCAGGUGAUCUGCCCGCCUCAGCCUCCCAAAGUGCUAGGAUUACAAGUGUGAGCCACCACGCCCGGCCCCAAUAUUCUUUCUUACUAGACACUGUGUAAGCUAAUUAUUCAGCAAGUAUUUUGCACUGAACUCUAAAUAGGUAAGUAUUUUGUGUCCAUUUUACAGACAAGAGAAAUAAAAUAGAUAAAGUAUUUCCCCAAAGCUAUGAUAAAUGAAUCCCAUAGCUAGAAAUGGCAGAAAACCCAUGGAAACUUCUAUGGGGAGUGGAUGUCUGCCUUACCUUGGCACAAUGCUUGGUUCUCAGAUAUCAUUUCAGUGACAUUGCCAAAUGGGAGAAACCAUGUCUGGUACAUGGGACUCAAGCUGCCUCAAAAUAUCCUGAAUGCAUUUUUUCAGGGGAGAAAAUCCAUUUGAAUAAGAAUAGCUAGUUAUAGCUUAUUAUGUGCCAGACACUAUUCAAAGUGUUUAAUGUGUAUUAACUUCUCAAAACCACUCUAUAAGUUAGGUACUAUGAUUUCCAUCUCCAUUUUACAGAUGAGGGAACUGAGCUGUCAAAACUAAGUGACUUGAUUGAGGCCAUGCAGCUGGCGAGGGGAGGACCAGGAUCUGAACCCAACUGGGUCUCCCAAGCCUGGGCCACUGAACCAUUUCACCUCUUGGAAAAACUUAAUGGUCAGAGUGGCCCACCCAGUCCAUGGACAGCAUGGAGCAGUAUGGUGGAAGAGGAAGGAAGAAAACCUGUGUAUUGUAAGUCAUAUUCUUCUAUGGCGUGAAGGUUAACGUAAGUUUUAAGAAAGUUUUUUUUUAAAUUUUAUUUUAUGAUCUUGCUCUAAAGGGAUGUAAAUUCAGAUGCUGAAUUGCACACAUUCUUUCUCUUUCAUAUUUUCAAUAUUGAACGUAAUUUCAAUAUUUAACAUAAAACAACGAGUACAUUGUCUCCACCUCAUUGUUUUUGGGUGGUGUUUGUGGGGAGCCUGCGUUCUUUGGAAGGAAGACCUUUCAGAUGACCUGACCAGUCCUCCUCUUCAGAACCCGGAUGCUGGCGAAGCAGUUUGAAUUUUAUGCUUGUGAAAGGGCUCCGUUGAUGAUUUUGAUGUCUGCAGGUUUCCACCCGUAUGACCAGACACAUUCUCACCAGCUCCAUAUAUCAAGAUAAGGAGGGGAAACCUGGUAGCUUUUCCUUCUGUUAACUGCUGGCAUCAGCUGAGUGAUGCAGACAUUUCUCUAUUAAGAACUGAGCUGAGACUGAAGCUUCAUUUUGUAUGAGACUCUGCAGAGGUCGUCUAAAGUCUCUCCCAGGUGAGGUUAUUAAGAUCCUGGAUUUGAAACUGUGACCUACUGGUUUGCCAGAUGCCAAGAACAAAUGCUCUGAAAUUGAUUUGCCAAAAGACAUGAUGAGCUGCUCUAACUUGCCUGGGAAGAGUGGAAUAUUUAACCUGUGGGUGAGACUCCCUCUUGCUACCUAUCAGCUUUGCCACUGCUCUGAUCGAGAAACAUCUUGGGAGCAGAGUUGGUAAGAGUGAAUCAGACGUAUCUGCCAGAAUAGGACUCGUGGCACCUGCUUGUUCGAUCCCUUAUUUCCACCCCCUCUAUCCUUUGCCUAUUGUCAGUCAUUGUGGUUGGUCCAUUCAGAAGAAUCGUGAAUAUUCAUAGCCACCCUAAUUUACUAAUAUAUAUUCACUAAUGUC